Molecule: ribosomal RNA, 397 nt
Filed under: uncultured bacterium
Lineage: Bacteria
Description: bacterial SSU rRNA
Rfam family: Bacterial small subunit ribosomal RNA
Source: RNAcentral
AAUCAACGCUGGCGGCGUGCCUCAGACAUGCAAGUCGAACGCGAAAGUUUCCUUCGGGAGAUGAGUAGAGUGGCGCACGGGUGAGUAACACGUGAGUAAUUUACCUUCGGGUGGGGAAUACUAACCGGAAACGGUUGUUAAUACCGCAUAAUGCAGCGGCAUCAAUGAUGACAGUUGUUAAAGCGGGGGAUUGGAGCAAUCCGACCUCGCGCCUGAAGAGAAGCUCGCGGCAGAUUAGCUAGUUGGUAAGGUAAUGGCUUACCAAGGCGACGAUCUGUAACCGGCCUGAGGGGGCGGUCGGUCACACUGACACUGAAUAACGGGUCAGACUCCUACGGGAGGCAGCAGUCGGGAAUUUUUGGGCAAUGGGCGCAAGCCUGACCCAGCAACGCCGCGU